CUAUUGGUUCCUGAGUGCCGAGGGCGGGGCGGAGAGGCUCGCGCUGCAGCAACCGAGGGAGAAAGUACGGCUUUAAACUAGUUUUACUCUAGAAAAAAGGAUUUUAGAUUGAAAAACGCUGCUUGUACUCGCUUAAAGAGUGUUAUAGACACUUUUAACGCCGCGUUUUGCCGAGAAUGUAUUUAUUUAUGAGGAGUUUCCUAAGUUUUAACAGUUUGGUAGGUAGCUAAGCUAGCAAGCUGAAGGUGCUUAGCAACCGCUAACCAGCUAGCUUGUUUGUUUGUUUGUUUGGGGAAGCCGGAGGAGCUCGGAGUGAAAAUUCAGCGUCAGCUACGAAGGAUUCUCUCUGAGCUUCAUUGACGCUGCUGCAGUCGGAGGGACCGGAGCUGAGAGCAGAACUUCGCCCUACUGAGCGGGAGAAGGUGGAGAAGGCGCCCUGUUGUGUAGCUGGAUCUGCGGUUAGCGGCGCCGCUGAGAGGGAUAACUUUACCAGACUUCAGAGCGGGGGAGUGAGGGAGGCUGAGGAGAAGUAGACAGAACCGACCCCAGCAGCGCGUUUAUUGGAGGUGCCGGUAAUGAGGGACAUGAGGGAAGGGGAGGAAGCCUAAUAACGAUUCAUCUCCUCUCAUCGCUUAGCCUGCACUGCACUUGACUUCUGACCACAAAGAACAGCAGAUUCAGAAGACACAAGAUGCUAAGAGAGCAAUUCCAGAUAGAGAGAAGAGAAGAGCAGUGAAGUCAGGUCCUGAAACACCAGCCAGUGUUCUCAAAAACAAAGGUGCCACAAAGGGUUUUCUGAACAACUUUCAGUUUUAUUUUUUAAUGGGAUGUGAGUGUGAAGAAUUUUUACCCUGGUAAAGAACCUUUAUGUAUAGUUAAGAGAAAAUUAAACAAUGUGACUCGUUCUUAAAGUUACUGUGUACCUUAUUUUAUUUUACUGUUAAAAGUUUCUCAUCUUCAAGUGCCUAACAACUUUCAGAAGAUCUGAUGGACCUGGUGGAGCAGUUCGAGCUCUAAUCAUGUGGAACAUCAUGCUUAUGCACUUUCUGAAACCUUGCUUUUUAAGUGUGGCCUAAAAAAAACUAAGUAAAGAAAAACGUUUUUUAAAA
This is a long non-coding RNA of Astyanax mexicanus (Mexican tetra), 1109 nucleotides long. RefSeq lists it as uncharacterized. Lineage: Eukaryota; Metazoa; Chordata; Actinopteri; Characiformes; Acestrorhamphidae. The record is from RefSeq and is a predicted model, not a curated record. The transcript has 4 exons.